AAAGUACUCCCUCCAUCCCAAAAUUCAUGUCUUAGAUUUGUCUAGAUACGGAUGUAUCAAGUCACAUCCGUAUCUAGACAAAUCUAAGACAAGAAAUUUGGAACAGAGGGAGUAGUUU
Non-coding RNA from Triticum aestivum (bread wheat), 118 nucleotides. The record is from Rfam. NCBI's taxonomy places the organism in Eukaryota, Viridiplantae, Streptophyta, Magnoliopsida, Poales, Poaceae.